AAUCUUCACAAUAACUCUGUGAUGUAAAUCCCCAUUUUACCAUUGAGUAAACUAAGACAAAGAGAGGUUAAGUGACUUGUCCAGGGUCACACAUCUAGUAAGUAUCUGAGGAUGGAUUUGAUAUUGGGUCUUCCUGACUCCAGCUCAGUGCUCUGAUCCACUAUGCCACCAGCAUCCUCUAUAGACCAGGAAGAGCCUCAGGGCAGCAGAUUGUCAUGUCCUCCUUUUCCAGUAACAAUGGUCAUAUUCAUUUAAUUAUUUCCAGGGUAAGGACAAGAUGUAGAAAGGGGUGGAUGAGUAGAUGGCAAGCUAUAUCUGUCUUUGGUAGAUCCCCACUGUCCUGAUGGCUGGUUGGCUGGGAAAAUACAGCAUGUCAUCUUAGGCACACUCACUAUUCAGGACAGCUCUGCAUCAAGGGAAAGGUGCAGAGCUUAUUGGAUCAACUUGCUGAUGGGUAGGAGACCUGGCAGGGACAUCUGAUCAGCAAAAAGGCUGAUAGCAAGAUGCCUAUGAUGAGUCAUUGAGAAUCGCCCACAAUGCCAAGUACAUAGUCUUACAUGAGUGAUCUGUUAUCAUAUCAAUUUGGGACUUCCCUCCAGUGGCAAAGACUGCUCAUCCUGUUUGACUUUUGGCUACGUCCUCCUGUAAGUUCAAAAGAUGGGGUUCAUCCAGCACAUUGAAGGCCUGCCUCAAUUUCUGUUGACAUUGCAAAGGGCACAACAAGGGCACUCUGAACGUCUAUUAACUUGUCAUCACAUGCCUUGCCACAUGGCCAACCCAUCUUUUCUUCCUAUCACAUCUCCUGGAGGAUAUCUUCUGCUUUUUUUUCUUUUAUGGAAGUUCCUCAUUGCCCAUAUGUUGAGCCUGCUACAACUGCAAUCACACCUCUGUGUCCAAGGAAACUGCUCUACUUCUUCAUCACUUUGUCCCUCAAUAUCUCUGACAACCUGAGAGCUGUUUGUCCCUUGCCAACAUUUCCCCUGGUACUUGUACACUACGUACUAGAAGACCUGCGAUCCUUUUUGCCUUUUCCCUUGUUUGCUCAGGACCUAGCUUCUUCAUCUUUCCUCAUUAACUUGCUUUAGAUCACAGGAUGGUAGUUAAAACCAUAGAGCCUUCUGUUAGGAGAGAAAACCCUUGUCAGUUCCAGUUUCCUGUCAUAUCAGCUUAAGGGACAGGGGCUGACCUCUCUAGCAGAAGAAAAUAAUCUGAAGGUGAAAGUCUGAAAGUGAUCACAGGCAAUAAUGUGUGUCAUAGGGGGAGUAAAACUGGGAGGGGAAAAAAUAAACUAGAAGAGGUGGUCA
This 1304-nucleotide long non-coding RNA is filed under the name Monodelphis domestica (gray short-tailed opossum). RNAcentral's name for it is "lncRNA (ENSMODG00000040130.1)". Lineage: Eukaryota; Metazoa; Chordata; Mammalia; Didelphimorphia; Didelphidae. The record is from RNAcentral.